GACGAACGCUUGCGGCGUGCUUAACACAUGCAAGUCGAACGGAAAGGCCCUGCUUUUGUGGGGUGCUCGAGUGGCGAACGGGUGAGUAACACGUGAGUAACCUGCCCUUGACUUUGGGAUAACUUCAGGAAACUGGGGCUAAUACCGGAUAGGAGCUCCUGCUGCAUGGUGGGGGUUGGAAAGUUUCGGCGGUUGGGGAUGGACUCGCGGCUUAUCAGCUUGUUGGUGGGGUAGUGGCUUACCAAGGCUUUGACGGGUAGCCGGCCUGAGAGGGUGACCGGCCACAUUGGGACUGAGAUACGGCCCAGACUCCUACGGGAGGCAGCAGUGGGGAAUAUUGCACAAUGGGCGGAAGCCUGAUGCAGCAACGCCGCGUGCGGGAUGACGGCCUUCGGGUUGUAAACCGCUUUCGCCUGUGACGAAGCGUGAGUGACGGUAAUGGGUAAAGAAGCACCGGCUAACUACGUGCCAGCAGCCGCGGUGAUACGUAGGGUGCGAGCGUUGUCCGGAUUUAUUGGGCGUAAAGGGCUCGUAGGUGGUUGAUCGCGUCGGAAGUGUAAUCUUGGGGCUUAACCCUGAGCGUGCUUUCGAUACGGGUUGACUUGAGGAAGGUAGGGGAGAAUGGAAUUCCUGGUGGAGCGGUGGAAUGCGCAGAUAUCAGGAGGAACACCAGUGGCGAAGGCGGUUCUCUGGGCCUUUCCUGACGCUGAGGAGCGAAAGCGUGGGGAGCGAACAGGCCUAGAUACCCUGGUAGUCCACGCUGUAAACGGUGGGUACUAGGUGUGGGGUCCAUUCCACGGGUUCCGUGCCGUAGCUAACGCUUUAAGUACCCCGCCUGGGGAGUACGGCCGCAAGGCUAAAACUCAAAGGAAUUGACGGGGCCCCGCACAAGCGGCGGAGCAUGCGGAUUAAUUCGAUGCAACGCGUAGAACCUUACCUGGGUUUGACAUGGAUCGGGAGUGCUCAGAGAUGGGUGUGCCUCUUUUGGGGUCGGUUCACAGGUGGUGCAUGCCUGUCGUCAGCUCGUGUCGUGAGAUGUUGGGUUAAGUCCCGCAACGAGCGCAACCCUUGUUCACUGUUGCCAGCACGUUAUGGUGGGGACUCAGUGGAGACCGCCGGGGUCAACUCGGAGGAAGGUGGGGAUGACGUCAAGUCCUCAUGCCCCUUAUGUCCAGGGCUUCACGCAUGCUACAAUGGCUGGUACAGAGAGUGGCGAGCCUGUGAGGGUGAGCGAAUCUCGGAAAGCCGGUCUCAGUUCGGAUUGGGGUCUGCAACUCGACCUCAUGAAGUCGGAGUCGCUAGUAAUCGCAGAUCAGCAACGCUGCGGUGAAUACGUUCCCGGG
This 1343-nucleotide ribosomal RNA is filed under the name uncultured bacterium. RNAcentral's name for it is "16S ribosomal RNA". It matches the Rfam family "Bacterial small subunit ribosomal RNA", at positions 28 to 1378 of the family's 1533-position model. The record is from RNAcentral.